This 573-nucleotide long non-coding RNA is filed under the name Phasianus colchicus (ring-necked pheasant). RNAcentral describes it as "lncRNA (ENSPCLG00000014764.1)". Lineage: Eukaryota; Metazoa; Chordata; Aves; Galliformes; Phasianidae. The record is from RNAcentral.
CCCAACCCCACAGCUCCUAAUGCUGUGUUGGUACGAUUGGGUUCAGUGCAGCCUCAGGGUCAGAAGGUCACAGUUAUGGGGUCAGGAUCACAGUUAUGGGGUCAGGGUCAUAAGGUCACAGUUAUGGGGUCAGGGUCACAGUUAUGGGGUCAGGGUCACAGUUAUGGGGUCAGGGUCACAAGAUCACAGUUCUGGGGUCAGGGCUGCUCUCUAAGGACACUCCAUCCCCUCCAUGCACUGAUGCCCCCCCUCACCCCCCCUUCAUCCCCAGCCAUGGGGUGGGGGAGCAGCGCAUCCCAAAGGGGCCACGUAGCAAAUUCCCACCCGCUGCACUUUGCAGUGGGGUGGGGGGGCUCAGGAGGGGAGGGGGGGACGGACGGACGGACAGACGGACAGACGGACUGCCUGAUGGCCACUGAGACACUUUACCUCUUCAGUAUGCAACUGUACAUAGGGUGUAAGAUAGGAAAACCUUUGGGUUUUGUCCAAUAGGAAAAGAAAAACAAAACCCCCCAGCCGAGGCUGCGGGGCUCUGCUGUACGUCAUUAAAAGUUUGGUUUUAUUACUGGGAGG